CAAGUUGAGCGAACCAAUAAGAAGCUUGCUUUUUGUUGGUUAGCGGCGGACGGGUGAGUAACACGUGGGUAACGUGCCUGUAAGAUCGGGAUAACUCCGGGAAACCGGUGCUAAUACCGGAUAGAUUAUCUUUCCGCUUGGAGAGAUAAGGAAAGAUGGCUAUUGCCAUCACUUACAGAUGGGCCCGCGGCGCAUUAGCUAGUUGGUGAGGUAACGGCUCACCAAGGCGACGAUGCGUAGCCGACCUGAGAGGGUGAUCGGCCACACUGGGACUGAGACACGGCCCAGACUCCUACGGGAGGCAGCAGUAGGGAAUCUUCCGCAAUGGACGAAAGUCUGACGGAGCAACGCCGCGUGAGCGAAGAAGGUCUUCGGAUCGUAAAGCUCUGUUGUUAGGGAAGAGCAAGUAUCGGAGGAAAUGCCGGUACCUUGACGGUACCUGACGAGAAAGCCACGGCCCAACUACGUGCCGGCACCCGCGGUUAAUACGUAGGUGGCAAGCGUUGUCCCGGAUUUAUUU
RNAcentral lists this ribosomal RNA (520 nucleotides) under uncultured bacterium. Its description in RNAcentral is "bacterial SSU rRNA". It matches the Rfam family "Bacterial small subunit ribosomal RNA", at positions 58 to 556 of the family's 1533-position model. The record is from RNAcentral.